This is a long non-coding RNA of Saccostrea echinata, 345 nucleotides long. RefSeq lists it as uncharacterized. NCBI's taxonomy places the organism in Eukaryota, Metazoa, Mollusca, Bivalvia, Ostreida, Ostreidae. The transcript has 3 exons. The record is from RefSeq and is a predicted model, not a curated record.
AAUGAUACCUGUAGUGGCUAUGAGGGUACGUGUGACGGCGGAUGUCAAGAACCAUUUAUUGGUCGUAUCUGUGAUCAUCAAAAUUUUACCGAGUUUCAGGAAGAAUUAGUUUGUAUACAUAGACCUCUCUCUACUGCGUGGAUUGCAGGAAUGGCCUUUUCUCUAACAUCAAAUAUAUUUGCAGUUGUCAUCAUCAUUUUCAAAAUAAGACAUUUUCAGUUAGACGAAAGAGGAAAAAGAGGAAAGGAGCGGUAUAUUACAAUGGCAGAUACCAGAACUUUGAACAAUGAAGAUAACACUCAUAAUUAUGAGGGAAUAAAUAAUACUGCAAAUUAGAAAAUCUUG